UCUCCGUUGGUGAACCAGCGGAGGGAUCAUUACCGAGUUUACAAACUCCCAAACCCUUUGUGAACCUUACCAUAUUGUUGCUUCGGCGGGACCGCCCCGGCGCCUUCGGGCCCGGAACCAGGCGCCCGCCGGAGGCCCCAAACUCUUCGUUAUUUACUGGCCUCUCUGAGUAACUUAUACAAUAAGUCAAAACUUUCAACAACGGAUCUCUUGGUUCUG
Molecule: unclassified non-coding RNA, 219 nt
Filed under: root metagenome
Description: partial contains small subunit ribosomal RNA, internal transcribed spacer 1, and 5.8S ribosomal RNA
Source: RNAcentral